Molecule: small nucleolar RNA, 90 nt
Filed under: Otolemur garnettii (small-eared galago)
Lineage: Eukaryota; Metazoa; Chordata; Mammalia; Primates; Galagidae
Description: Small nucleolar RNA SNORD116 (ENSOGAG00000023192.1)
Source: RNAcentral
GGAUGGAUGACAAGUCCACCGUCAAAAUGUUUUGGAAAAGUUGAACCUGAGUGAAACUCACUGCCAUCUUGCUCAUUGGAACUGAGGUGC